UUGUAGAGGUAUUUCAAAAUGGAACGGCCUUGGUCACACACUGUGUCGCGCGCUUUUUCCAAUUGAUAAUAAACUUAAAGGUCAGUCACGCGUAACUUCAAGAGAGGAAGCAGCAUCACUACCACCAUCAUACAUUGUGUUUGUUCAUGAUUUAACUUAUCAUUGAUUAAAUACUUCAUUAAUUGUUACACGUCUAUCGUCAUGUACUUGAAACAACAACAACACAAGUGAUAUGCAAAAGAUAAGAGGUAUAAACUGAGAAUUUCCUCUCAUAAUUCAUUCGACAGAGCGACGACUAUUUGUGACUGACGUGGCAUUUAAAUAUGGCGAUGGAAGCGAAACCUUCAGUUUUAGUCUGCUUACGGACUCUAAGCAAUAGCAAAGUGACGAGCAAUUUUAUUGAAACAUGUUUGAGUCGCUUGAGAAAUUGUUUUCAAGUCGUUUUUCUGGACGAUAUCCAACAGAAUCCAAGCAUAAAGAACGACAUCGCUGGUAUUGUUACACCGGGUCCAGAUUCGAAAGAAAUAAACAAAUUAAUUCGAACUCUGCCGAAUCUGAAAGUGAUUUCAAACCAUGGAAUGGGAGUGGAUAAUCUUGAUCUGAAAUGGGCCAAAGAAAAAGGGUUGCGAGUUGGAAACACCAAAUAUGUUAUUGCCGACAGCACCGCGGAACUUGCCAUAACUUUAAUGCUUCUUUCAACACGGAAAAUAGUGCAAGGUGUCCGCAUGGCAAUGGGAAAGGAACAUCCAAACUUCGUUAGUCCGAGCUUACUUGGCAUAAGUGUGACGAAGAAAAAUCUUGGAAUUGUUGGUAUGGGAGAUAUUGGGCUUAAAAUCGCUCUAAGAGCAACGGCGUUUGGAAUGAAAAUCCUGUAUCAUAACAGAACACAAAGAAGCAAGGAAGACGAAGAACGGGUCAAAGCUACGUAUUACCCUCGUUUGCAUGAUAUGUUACCCGAAACAGAUGUUCUUGUUAUUGCUUGUCCUUGCACAGAACAAACGAUUAACUUGAUUAGUACAGAAGAAUUCCGGUUGAUGAAGAAAACUUCACUUUUGGUAAACAUCGCUCGAGGGAAGAUAGUUGACACCGACGCCCUUGUGAAAGCUCUUCAGUCAAAUGAAAUUCAAAGUGCUGCCAUGGAUGUCACCGAACCUGAACCGCUACCACGAGGACACCCAUUGUUAUCCAUGCCAAAUGUUGUCAUAACCCCUCACUGUGGAACAUACACUUUCGAAACUCGCUUAGAAAUGAUUGGUUUAGUGAUAGAAAAUUUAAAUUGUGCUUUGGCAGGGAAAGCGAUGCCGUCUGAAGUAAUUUUGUAAUGAUGAUAUCUAACCAAGAAACAAUAUAUUCCUGAAACUGCAGAGAAUUAUUUUUGAUAAAUGUGUUAAUUAAUCGUGAAUUGUA
RNAcentral lists this unclassified non-coding RNA (1407 nucleotides) under Octopus sinensis (East Asian common octopus). Its description in RNAcentral is "probable 2-ketogluconate reductase, transcript variant X2". Lineage: Eukaryota; Metazoa; Mollusca; Cephalopoda; Octopoda; Octopodidae. The record is from RNAcentral.